UUGGGUCGACUCUAGAGGGACUGCCGGCGACAAGUCGGAGAAGUGGGGAUGACGUCAAAUCAUCAUGCCCCUUAUGACCUGGGCUACACACGUGCUACAAUGGGCGGUACAAAGGGCUGCGAACCCGCGAGGGGGAGCGAAUCCCAAAAAGCCGCUCUCAGUUCGGAUUGCAGGCUGCAACUCGCCUGCAUGAAGCCGGAAUCGCUAGUAAUCGCGGAUCAGCAUGCCGCGGUGAAUACGUUCCCGGGCCUU
Molecule: ribosomal RNA, 252 nt
Filed under: uncultured Geobacillus sp.
Lineage: Bacteria; Bacillati; Bacillota; Bacilli; Caryophanales; Anoxybacillaceae
Description: partial 16S ribosomal RNA
Rfam family: Bacterial small subunit ribosomal RNA
Source: RNAcentral